This 2909-nucleotide long non-coding RNA is filed under the name Ananas comosus (pineapple). RNAcentral describes it as "long non-coding RNA (ACOM_LNC006933)". Lineage: Eukaryota; Viridiplantae; Streptophyta; Magnoliopsida; Poales; Bromeliaceae. The record is from RNAcentral.
AUACAACUAAUAAAUUAUUUGCUACCUAAGUUUUAAAUUAGUGAAGAAAUUUUUAGAACAAAUACCGCAACGAAAUCUGAUUGUGAUUUAAAUCUAACUAAAUUUUAUUAUAAAUACAACUUACAGAUAAUUGCUAUAUCCAAAUAAAUAUUUAAUUGAUCCGGAAGCGUGCGAGGCACUGCCCUAAGGCGUAUUUCCGUCCUUAUGUGCGGGAUUAACCGGGAACAACACCCCAAGGUACGACCGGAAUUUCUCCUCCUGCGAGCACGAUCGUGAAGAAGGUUGACGAAGACUCUUUCAACACCCGAUGACAAAAAGAUCAAAGCCAAAUAGAUAAAAAUAAUAGAUAGAAAAAUAUAUGUCCUCCAAUGUUUCUCUUUGCAAUGUUUUAUGUCAUGAACAGUAGAAAGAGUACUAUAUAAAAGGGUGUGAAUAGAACAUUGGAUACCCUAACAUUCUACUCCAAUAAUUAAUUCCAUUUAAUUCAUGCUUUAAUGUGAAAUAAAGGAGGAAUAAAUUAAAUUUAAUCCAUCCAAUUAAUUAACAUAAUAAAAGACAAUAAAUGAGAAUAAUUAUAAAACUAAAUGAGAUUUGGAGAUUUUGGAUUUUACACCAACAAUUCCCCACAAAAUUCAAAAUCACAAAAUCAAAAUUAAACAAAUAAAUAAAUGAAUCAUCGGGUAUUUAUACUAUGCAAUAGGCGAGGUGUCUUUAAAAGACUUAACCCCACUUAGUGUAAAUAGUUUCCAUCAGAAGGAAUCGGAGUGAAUCAGGUCUUGAACUACGUUCCUUUGGCCCUGACUUCUACUACCACACACACAGUACAGAAUUCUCCGUCGCGGGUCUGUGCGUUAAUGGCCAUGCACAGUACCUUGAUUUUUCAUAAGAGUUUCUAUGUAUAGCCCAUUCACAUAGCCGCGGCCACAUACGGAUACUCUUAUAUAGGUGGUUCCCUCUUGGGAUGUUGAUAUAGAGUCCAUCUCGCGAAAAUCAUCACCUUGAGAUCCCAUUAAAAAGCUCUACAGUCAAUCUAUACACUUAACAGAGCACUCUCACCAUAGGCGAUGGGAUUGGAGCUAAAGACUCCUAUUAUAAAAUUUAUAGAAGUGCUCUUGGCCAACCCUGACAGCUUCGUUAUUUAACACAUGAACUUUAUCAAGGAUCUCUAUCACAAGUUGGCGGUUCCACUGGCAGGAAGGCCUUUACCGGGCAGAGUCCCUCCCCUCGUUGACCCAGGACCUUAGUCCUAUAUUCAGGGCCGUUCGUAAAAUAAUCUGCAAAUUUGUUUCAGAUUGAUAACAAAAUCAAAUAAAGUAAUAUUAAUGAAAAUAACCAUCUAUAAAAUUUAUGUCUCAAAAAAAUAUUUACCUGCCAAUUUUAGAAUUGCAAAAUUCGUUUUCCAAGUGAACACUAUGGAUAAAUCACUGAGGAGAGCCAUUAUAUAUCAAAAUUAUCAAACUGAUAAAGAGUAAUCCCCACAAGUUUUGCCGAUAUAUCAAAUUAAAUCAUGAGGUUAAUCAUGUUAAUGGGUUUGGGGUUCAACAGGCAAAUAGAUGGCCUAAUAAUUUUUUAAAUUUAUCUCAAUUAGAUCUUUUCAUUACAAAUAUAAUGAAACAAUAUCGAUCAACAAAAGAUGAUUACGAUAAAGUAGCCCGUUGCUGUUGGUUAGCACGACUUUGUUCAAGACUGUGCUUUAAACAUAACUGUUGGGUUUUCAAAUCCAAUAUUGAAACAUAACAGAUGUGACAGUUAGGGGAUAAAUCAAGCUUUAAAGAAAUCUACCUUUUUUUUUUUUUUUUAAGUCAAAACAUAGUAUAAUGUAUUUGCCACUAAAAAAAAACUUUCUUUACAUGUAGUAUUUUUUUUCAAUCGUAGAACCGUCUAUAAACAAAUACUGUAGCAUUAUAUAUCAUUUUUACCAAAGAAUUUAUGUAGCAAAACUCUAAAGAUCAGCUAAUAUAAUUAUUUUUUACUUUAUCAAUUUUUUUUUUUUAAAUAUCACCAUAAUAAAUUAUAAAUCUUAACAGUUAAAUUAAAUAAUUAUACAAUACAUGUUCAAGUGCUAAUCUCCAGGAAAAUUUAUGUUUGAUUGCCAUUCAUAGAAACUUACAAACAAAAUUAUAUAAUUAUAAAUUAACUAAUUAUAAUACGGACAUUAGCAGCCGUUAGAUUUCAGAUGCACAAUCAAAAGUCGAGAUCAGCCUUAGAUUGUCUAGAAACAAUACCGACGAAUUUGAUUGUGUAUUUAAAUCUAACUAAAUUUUAUUUAAAUACAACUGUUACAGAUAAUUGGCUUUAUCCAAAUAAAUACUUAUUGAUCUGAAGUAGUGCGGAGCACUAGCCUAGAGGCGUAUUUCCUGUCCUUACGUGCUGGGGAUUAACCGGGAACACACCCAACGGGUACGACGGAAUCAUACCUCUGCGAUGCACGAUGUGAAGAAGGUUGACGAAGACUCUUUCAACACCCGAUGACAAAAAGAUCAAAGCCAAAUAGAUAAAAAUAAUAGAUAGAAAAAUAUAUGUCCUCCAAUGUUUCUCUUUGCAAUGUUUUAUGUCAUGAACAGUAGAAAGAGUACUAUAUAAAAGGGUGUGAAUAGAACAUUGGAUACCCCAACAUUCUACUCCAAUAAUUAAUUCCAUUUAAUUCAUGCUUUAAUAUGAAAUAAAGGAGGAAUAAAUUAAAUUUAAUCCAUCCAAUUAAUUAACAUAAUAAAAGACAAUAAAUGAGAAUAAUUAUAAAACUAAAUGAGAUUUGGAGAUUUUGGAUUUUACACCAACAGAAAUCAGAAGCACAAAAAAUAAGACUAAUCAAAAGACAUUCGAAAUCAAAAUAAAUAUUUUUUAUACUGUAAAAAAAUUCAACUACCAAAUAACUAAUCUAAUAAUAUUCUUAUAUUAUUAUAUAAACU